UCGUCUUUUCUUCAACAGAAAUACAAUAAUCUGGAAUUUAAAUGGUUUAACGAGGAAAACAAGCUGCAGGGAUCAGGAGAGACACUUACAAGGAAAACCGACGAUGUGGUAAACACCAACUUCUUUUGCAAUGUUUCAAACUCCAUCAGCUCUGAGAUCAGUGACCCUGCUGCACAAAAGUGCUCAAAACCCUCUUUUCCUAAUGAAUUAUUUGGAAUUAGCAUCUGGGUUUUCAUAGGAGGCGGAGCAGGUCUUCUUAUUUUGGUGAUCGUCACUGCCACAGUUUGUUGUGUCCGGGCCAGACGAAAGAGACGCAUAUGAUAAACGGUAUUUACUUAUAUACUGUUAUCAUUAUUAUUUUAGUUCAUGUUAAAAAUAUAAGCCACUGCGCUAAGGCAGAACAUCUUAAAAACUAUUUUACUUACGUAAAUGACUUAGUUCACCCAUGUACAGCCCAUCCAUUCACCAUUCAUUGUGCAUGUAGGUUACUUGAGGAGCUCCCCAAGGCUCAGUCUUAGGUCCAUUAGAUUUAUAUUAUUUGUACUUUGAUUUUUUUAGGGGUUAUGGUUAAGAUUACUUGCAUUCAGUUCAAAAUAUUUACAUACAGCAGAUAAUGAUUCACUUCAAGGGACUACAAACUUCAAGUUGCACAGUGCAGGAUUUCAAAAAGGAGAGAUCACUU
Molecule: long non-coding RNA, 682 nt
Organism: Pundamilia nyererei
Lineage: Eukaryota; Metazoa; Chordata; Actinopteri; Cichliformes; Cichlidae
Exons: 3
Source: RefSeq, a predicted model, not a curated record